AGCAGCCGCGGUAAUUCCAGCUCCAAUAGCGUAUAUUAAAGUUGUUGCAGUUAAAAAGCUCGUAGUUGAAUUUCGGGGUCAGUAGGUUGGUCAUGCCACUGGUAUGUACUGGUCUCACUGAUUCCUCCUUCCUGAUGAACUGUAAUGCCAUUAAUUUGGUGUUGCAGGGAAUCUGGACUGUUACUUUGAAAAAAUUAGAGUGUUUAAAGCAGGCUAACGCCUGAAUACAUUAGCAUGGAAUAAUGAAAUAGGACGUUCGAUCCUAUUUUGUUGGUUUCUAGGAUUGACGUAAUGAUUAAUAGGGAUAGUUGGGGGCAUUAGUAUUCAAUUGUCAGAGGUGAAAUUCUUGGAUUUAUUGAAGACUAACUACUGCGAAAGCAUUUGCCAAGGAUGUUUUCAUUAAUCAAGAACGAAAGUUAGGGGAUCGAAGACGAUCAGAUACCGUCGUAGUCUUAACCAUAAACUAUGCCGACUAGGGAUCGGAUGAUGUUAAUUUUUUAAUGACUCAUUCGGCGCCUUACG
RNAcentral lists this ribosomal RNA (522 nucleotides) under uncultured Glomus. Its description in RNAcentral is "SSU rRNA". It matches the Rfam family "Eukaryotic small subunit ribosomal RNA", at positions 569 to 1092 of the family's 1831-position model. The record is from RNAcentral. Lineage: Eukaryota; Fungi; Glomeromycota; Glomeromycetes; Glomerales; Glomeraceae.